This 1938-nucleotide long non-coding RNA is filed under the name Scophthalmus maximus (turbot). RNAcentral describes it as "lncRNA (ENSSMAG00000023364.1)". Lineage: Eukaryota; Metazoa; Chordata; Actinopteri; Pleuronectiformes; Scophthalmidae. The record is from RNAcentral.
AAAAGACUGGAGGAGCUGCUGGACAGCGACCGUUUCUUCAGGGACGACUUCGCUGUUGUUCUCCAGCCGUUCCUCAAACACGCCGACCCUCCCCGCCUCCCGGUAAUCUGCCACGAACAUGAUCGACACAGCAGAGACGUGUCUGCUUUUCGGGGGAUGAAUCGUUCGGAUCUCGAGUGUGACAGGCUGUGGCGUCUGCCUUUGUUAACAGGAGGCUGAAAAUGAGAGAGAGAGAGAGAGAAGUCUCGUCUCGCCCAGCAACACGAAACCCAGCAAAACCUCACCGGUGUGUGUGUGUGUGUGUUUUUUUCUCCCUGAGCAGAACGGGAAGAUCGACAUGACCUUCUUCACUCACGACUGCUUCCACUUCACCAUUAAGGGACACGAGGAGCUGGCCAAGGGACUGUGGAACAACAUGGUGAACAAUGACUUCCACUGCUUGUGUUUAACUGAAUGGCAAGAGGUCAAAAUGUCAACAAUCAGCCCGUAGAAAAUAUAUGUACAGUAGUACAUUUGUAGCAAUAGUAGUACUUUUUUGUCAGUAUAGUUCAUUGUGUUUCCCUAAAUUAAUCUCUCCUCAUCUCUCCGUCUCCUGUUCCCAGUUUCAGCCUGAGGGAGGGAAGAUGAUCGUGAGCAGUUUCUCCGACCCCAUCAGUCUCAUCUGUCCACCGAGGGAGCACCCGUACAUCUUCACACGACCAAUUGCAGCCAGGUCUGGCCGGCCUCUGCCUCAGUCAUCAGUCGUCUUGCUGCUCUCGCUACUUGUGGGUUUUGGACGUCUUGGACUUGUGUGACAUCCACUUGGCUCUUGUCAUGUGCACGUCUCUGCUCCACUGUCCAGGUGAUCGCCCACAGUGGCUCACAUGCAGAGGAGAGUCAGUGGGCCGCUCUUUGCAACAUUGCAUGUCUGUGGCCCCGAAAACCAGCACAGAGAAACGACUGCAGUGUUUGAGAUCUGGAAAAAGUCCCUGUAGAUACUGUGCCAGUGAAUCCUGCAUCCUAAAUAUUUAAUUCUUAGACGCAGAUGGAGUGAAGAGUUUUUACUUGUUGUUGUUCAGCGGCUUUUUAGUAGAAAGUUUUCUAUUUUGCUUUUUAAAUUUGAAUCUAACAUGACUGCACCCGGAUGAUUUACAGUAUCGCUUAAACAAACUGCGGGAACGGGAGAAUGAUCCAUGUUUCAUUCCACACUUAUAAUCAUAAUAAUCUACUGCAGGUGUCUCGCCCGGUGCAGAUUUAACUUUACCGUAUCACUCGAUAAAUAUUAAAUGCAGAUGUUGUAAUCAGUCAAAAAGAACAAGUUAUGAUUUUCUUGCAUUGUUCACGUGACAUUUAUACAUUCAUACAUAAAACAUUAAACUAAUUCGACUUUGCCCAAAAGUGAAGUGAGUGUAUGUUUAAUCCAUGAAAGUGUUUUCUUGGAUACUUACUCUCUGUCUCAGUAGCAAGACAGAAACCUUUGUGAUAUUGCCAAGGUGCAUUAUGUUCAAUUACUUUGUUGCACUGGCGAUGGAAGCCUUAGAAGCUUUAAGACAGAAGUGACACAUUGCAUCAAUCAUCACAUUCACAUGUAUUGAAAUAGGAGGUUGACUUAGUUCACCUCGUUUACUGUAACACACACAGUCUGUAUGUGUGAACGCACAGAGGGCGAAGGGCCCGGAUCAGCUCAACGAAAAGCAGUUUUAAAAAGUCGAAAAGAGUUUGUCGUCCGUCUUACCCUCCGCAGACCUUCCGGGGAGAGCUGUGACUUUUCAAACCCGCAGACGGUUUAGUCACGCGGCUGUUCCUCAGGUCUGCAGGCUGCUGCUGGCCCACUUCUGCUCCUCGGUCCCUCCGCGACCUGCGUUUGUACGCACUGAGCAAAGGGAGAGGCAAAGUCAGACGCCGCAGUGAGAGAAACACACGCUGAAUGUUGUGCCUGAAUGCUGAGCAGCGAGUCGU